RNAcentral lists this ribosomal RNA (372 nucleotides) under uncultured bacterium. RNAcentral describes it as "bacterial SSU rRNA". It matches the Rfam family "Bacterial small subunit ribosomal RNA", at positions 521 to 895 of the family's 1533-position model. The record is from RNAcentral.
UAAUACGGAGGGUGCAAGCGUUAUCCGGAUUCACUGGGUUUAAAGGGUGCGUAGGCGGGUUGGUAAGUCAGUGGUGAAAUCCCCGAGCUUAACUUGGGAACUGCCAUUGAUACUAUCAGUCUUGAAUACCGUGGAGGUCGACGGAAUAUGUCAUGUAGCGGUGAAAUGCUUAGAUAUGACAUAGAACACCAAUUGCGAAGGCAGUUGGCUACACGAGUAUUGACGCUGAGGCACGAAAGCGUGGGGAUCAAACAGGAUUAGAUACCCUGGUAGUCCACGCCCUAAACUAUGGAUACUCGACAUAUGCGAUACACUGUAUGUGUCUGAGCGAAAGCAUUAAGUAUCCCACCUGGGAAGUACGAUCGCAAGAUU